GAUGAACGCUGGCGGCGUGCUUAACACAUGCAAGUCGAACGGAAAGGCUCCUGCCUGCAGGGGUACUCGAGUGGCGAACGGGUGAGUAACACGUGGGUGAUCUGCCCUGUACUUCGGGAUAAGCUUGGGAAACUGGGUCUAAUACCGGAUAUGACAAUCUCUUGGAUGGGGUUGUGGAAAGCUUUUGCGGUAUGGGAUGAGCUCGCGGCCUAUCAGCUUGUUGGUGGGGUAAUGGCCUACCAAGGCGUCGACGGGUAGCCGGCCUGAGAGGGUGUACGGCCACAUUGGGACUGAGAUACGGCCCAGACUCCUACGGGAGGCAGCAGUGAGGAAUAUUGCACAAUGGGCGCAAGCCUGAUGCAGCGACGCCGCGUGGGGGAUGACGGCCUUCGGGUUGUAAACUCCUUUCGCAACCGACGAAGCUUUUGUGACGGUAGGUUGAGAAGAAGCACCGGCUAACUACGUG
RNAcentral lists this ribosomal RNA (466 nucleotides) under uncultured bacterium. Its description in RNAcentral is "partial 16S ribosomal RNA". It matches the Rfam family "Bacterial small subunit ribosomal RNA", at positions 28 to 507 of the family's 1533-position model. The record is from RNAcentral.